This 345-nucleotide unclassified non-coding RNA is filed under the name soil metagenome. RNAcentral's name for it is "partial contains 5.8S ribosomal RNA, internal transcribed spacer 2, and large subunit ribosomal RNA". The stretch from base 1 to 120 matches the Rfam family "5.8S ribosomal RNA", at positions 35 to 154 of the family's 154-position model. The record is from RNAcentral.
GAUGAAGAACGCAGCGAAAUGCGAUACGUAAUGUGAAUUGCAGAAUUCAGUGAAUCAUCGAGUCUUUGAACGCACAUUGCGCCCCCUGGUAUUCCGGGGGGCAUGCCUAUCCGAGCGUCAUUGCUGCCCUCAAGCACGGCUUGUGUGUUGGGCCUCCGUCCUCCUCCCGGGGGACGGGCCCGAAAGGCAGCGGCGGCACCGCGUCCGGUCCUCGAGCGUAUGGGGCUUCGUCACCCGCUCUUGUAGGCCCGGCCGGCGCUUGCCGACACAUCAAUCUUUUUUCCAGGUUGACCUCGGAUCAGGUAGGGAUACCCGCUGAACUUAAGCAUAUCAAUAAGCGGAGGA